RNAcentral lists this ribosomal RNA (253 nucleotides) under uncultured prokaryote. RNAcentral describes it as "partial 16S ribosomal RNA". It matches the Rfam family "Bacterial small subunit ribosomal RNA", at positions 524 to 777 of the family's 1533-position model. The record is from RNAcentral.
UACGUAGGGGCAAGCGUUGUCCGGAAUUACUGGGCGUAAAGGGCGUGUAGGCGGCCAUAUAUGUCAGAUGUGAAAUGCCACGGCUCAACCGAGGCACUGCAUAUGAAACUGUAUGGCUUGAGUGCAGGAGAGGGAAGUGGAAUUCCUAGUGUAGCGGUGAAAUGCGUAGAUAUUAGGAGGAACACCAGUGGCGAAGGCGGCUAUCUGGACAGUAACUGACGCUGAGGCGCGAAAGCGUGGGGAGCAAACAGGA